CCUACGGGGGGCAGCAGUGAGGAAUAUUGGUCAAUGGACGAGAGUCUGAACCAGCCAAGUAGCGUGAAGGAUGACUGCCCUAUGGGUUGUAAACUUCUUUUAUAUGGGAAUAAAAUGUUCCACGUGUGGGAUUUUGUAUGUACCAUAUGAAUAAGGAUCGGCUAACUCCGUGCCAGCAGCCGCGGUAAUACGGAGGAUCCGAGCGUUAUCCGGAUUUAUUGGGUUUAAAGGGAGCGUAGGUGAAUUGUUAAGUCAGUUGUGAAAGUUUGCGGCUCAACCGUAAAAUUGCAGUUGAAACUGGCAGUCUUGAGUACAGUAGAGGUGGGCGGAAUUCGUGGUGUAGCGGUGAAAUGCUUAGAUAUCACGAAGAACUCCGAUUGCGAAGGCAGUUCACUGGACUGCAACUGACACUGAGGCUCGAAAGUGUGGGUAUCAAACAGGAUUAGAUACCCGAGUAGUC
Molecule: ribosomal RNA, 460 nt
Filed under: uncultured bacterium
Lineage: Bacteria
Description: partial 16S ribosomal RNA
Rfam family: Bacterial small subunit ribosomal RNA
Source: RNAcentral